Long non-coding RNA from Pollicipes pollicipes, 949 nucleotides. RefSeq lists it as uncharacterized. Lineage: Eukaryota; Metazoa; Arthropoda; Thecostraca; Pollicipedomorpha; Pollicipedidae. The record is from RefSeq and is a predicted model, not a curated record. The transcript is spliced from 5 exons.
AGCGCGACGGUGACAUUGCGGUGUGUGGCCUCUAGGACAAGAAGACUGGGCUUACGUUGGAUGUAAGUUAUUGUCGUCCGGCAAGAUUUUGAAAAGUGAUGUGAUAGCCACUGAACCUUGAAGCAAUUGAAGACCAGAAAGCCUUAGUGCGAUCGGCUGGAUUCAGAUGGCCUAUAUGUAUACCAUUGGAAGAGUUAAUGAAGAACCUCCUCCGGAAAGUUUACUGCAACAAAGAUUGCUUCCCGAGAGCGACACUCGUUAAGGAUGGAAAAAUCUGGACGAAGCCGACCACCUCAACACCGCACCAAUGGCAGAAGAGGACGGUCCGGAGCGCAUGGGUGAAGACGAUUGUGCGGUGGAAGUCGCAAAUGUCCUACCUGGACAAAAAGCCAAGAGGGGAAGGGAGACUUGUUUCCGGAGGACAAAUCUUCACAUCGAGAGACUAACGAUGACGCUCAGGAAAAAAAACACCACUGGCAAAGAAAGACGUAUUGUCUGGUGCAAUGCGGAAAAGGCAGCUGUGAUGAGGCAGCUUGGCCUGUUUGUUAGCCGCAUGGAGGUUUCUGACCAAGCUGCAUGUUUACGUGCCCUGUCAGCAGAAAAUGAUCUGUCCUAGCGCUCAUGGAGAGAUGUUAAAUCCAUGUCCAUAACGUGAUCGUUAGAGCACGUCGUAAGGCGAAGUGAGUCUCAGUGACUUACACAUUAGAUGUCGACUUCGUUCACGUUUGGAUGAUGCUCGCCCGUAAAUUUUGCAACGACAAAAACGAUCUCCUUGUUGUUGCUCCCGUUUAUAGUAGCAAUCUGUGUAGGUGGAGCUGAUGAACGGUGAAAAAGCAGUGCUCACCAAGGGCAGUGUGGCGAGAUUUGCAAUUCUGGGCGGAAGGUGACACCUAAGCACGGAAAUAGACCCACCCCAUUGGUAAAAAUGCGUUAUACCUGAAUGUCAAUU